CCCUGAAGGAGAGGCAGUAACAGACUUUAAAUGUGGAAAAGAUUGGUAACACGGAAGCAAGAGCCAGCAAGACUGAAAACAACUAGUCCUAAACCACAAACACCAGAAAAAAAGUCAACAUACCAUUUGUCACCAUUUCACCACCAGCAUUGCUUAAAUAGCCUUCAUUGAGGACGCUGAGCCCCCAGGUGGCAGCUGAAAUCCUCAGCAAACAGUGCAUUUUAUUGUGGUGGCGUCCCACCAGAAAGGGCAGCUGGAAGCAGUUUGUCAGUGAAAAUGUAAGAAAGAGAAUCCGUGACCACUCAGGGCUUAUGUUAAAUAUCAAAUGGAGCAGGUGAGCCCGGAGUGUCUGAAGGGAUGUAUAUUGCCCAUCUACCUCACAUAUGGACAUGAAGUUCUUUUUGUGUCUGAGAAGACCCCUUAAAUUUUCUUCUCAAUAAAUAGGCUGGUCCGUGUCCUGCCUGGAAUGCCAUAAAAUUCUUCUGAGGUCUCUGCGUUCUCCGAUCACCACCUGCAAUUACAAUCCCCACAAGAGGAAUUUACUAAAGUAAUUGGAAAAUGAAGUCUCACAGCAUUUAACUACUUUCCACAAGGUCCAUAUUGAAUUUGAGAGUGAGCCAGCGUUUUGUGCUUGUGUGGUGGAAGCAAUAAAUAUCA
Lynx canadensis (Canada lynx) is the source of this 657-nucleotide long non-coding RNA. RefSeq lists it as uncharacterized. The transcript has 3 exons. NCBI's taxonomy places the organism in Eukaryota, Metazoa, Chordata, Mammalia, Carnivora, Felidae. The record is from RefSeq and is a predicted model, not a curated record.